AGUCCGUGACUUGUGGCAAUAUUAUCAUUGUAUACAAAUAUUGCACUUGUCCCGGCCUAU
Molecule: microRNA precursor, 60 nt
Filed under: Blattella germanica (German cockroach)
Lineage: Eukaryota; Metazoa; Arthropoda; Insecta; Blattodea; Blattellidae
Description: Bge-Mir-92-P3_pre stem-loop
Source: RNAcentral